GGCAAGAUAGUGUGCUUAGUGGUUAGAGCACUGCACUAGAGCCUGGAAGGACCAGGGUUCAAAUCCCCGCCCAGCCA
Molecule: non-coding RNA, 77 nt
Organism: Podarcis lilfordi (Lilford's wall lizard)
Lineage: Eukaryota; Metazoa; Chordata; Lepidosauria; Squamata; Lacertidae
Source: the annotation of a GenBank genome assembly